GGACCCGCACAAGCGGUGGAGCGAUUGUUGGAUUUUAACAUUCGGAUGCAAACAGCCGAAAACCUUACCUACUCUUGACAUACUUGGGAGCUCUUGUAAUGAGAGUGUGCCUUUUGGAACCAAGAUACAGGUGCUGCAUGGCUGUCGUCAGCUCGUGUCGUGAGAUGUUCCGUUAAGUCGGAUAACGAGCGCAACCCUUACCCUUAUUUGCCAGCGAUUCGGUCGGGAACUAUAAGGGGACUGCCGGUGAUAAACCGGAGGAAGGUGAGGACGACGUCAAGUCAUCAUGGCCCUUACGAGUAGGGCUACACACGUGCUACAAUGGGGAAUACAGACGGACGCUAAGCCGCGAGGUGGUG
Molecule: ribosomal RNA, 359 nt
Filed under: uncultured bacterium
Lineage: Bacteria
Description: bacterial SSU rRNA
Rfam family: Bacterial small subunit ribosomal RNA
Source: RNAcentral